This 25-nucleotide non-coding RNA is filed under the name Rattus norvegicus (Norway rat). The record is from RNAcentral. Lineage: Eukaryota; Metazoa; Chordata; Mammalia; Rodentia; Muridae.
CUCUUGAGGUGCCUGGCUCUGAAGC